This 403-nucleotide ribosomal RNA is filed under the name Verrucomicrobiota bacterium. RNAcentral describes it as "Verrucomicrobia bacterium partial 16S ribosomal RNA". It matches the Rfam family "Bacterial small subunit ribosomal RNA", at positions 355 to 776 of the family's 1533-position model. Lineage: Bacteria; Pseudomonadati; Verrucomicrobiota. The record is from RNAcentral.
UGGGGAAUAUUGCACAAUGGAGGGAACUCUGAUGCAGCGACGCCGCGUGAACGAAGAAGGCUUUCGAGUCGUAAAGCUCUGUCCUAUGGGAAGAUAAUGACGGUACCAUAAGAAAAAGCCCCGGCUAACUACGUGCCAGCAGCCGCGGUAAUACGUAGGGGGCUAGCGUUGUCCGGAAUCACUGGGCGUAAAGGGUUCGCAGGCGGAAAUGCAAGUCAGGUGUAAAAGGCAGUAGCUUAACUACUGUAAGCAUUUGAAACUGCAUAUCUUGAGAAGAGUAGAGGUAAGUGGAAUUUUUAGUGUAGCGGUGAAAUGCGUAGAUAUUAAAAAGAAUGCCGGUGGCGAAGGCGACUUACUGGGCUCAUUCUGACGCUGAGGAACGAAAGCGUGGGUAGCAAACAGG